AUUUACAUAAUAUAAAAAUUAUAUUUGACUUCCAAUCAAAAAAUCUAGCUUGCUAGUGUAAAUA
Molecule: transfer RNA, 64 nt
Filed under: Stilpnonotus mexicanus
Lineage: Eukaryota; Metazoa; Arthropoda; Insecta; Coleoptera; Mycteridae
Description: tRNA-Gly
Source: RNAcentral